CGAACAUGGGGAACCUGCCCCAUAGUCUGGGAUACCACUUGGAAACAGGUGCUAAUACCGGAUAAGAAAGCGGAUCGCAUGAUCAGCUUUUAAAAGGCGGCGUAAGCUGUCGCUAUGGGAUGGCCCCGCGGUGCAUUAGCUAGUUGGUAAGGUAAAGGCUUACCAAGGCGAUGAUGCAUAGCCGAGUUGAGAGACUGAUCGGCCACAUUGGGACUGAGACACGGCCCAAACUCCUACGGGAGGCAGCAGGG
This 251-nucleotide ribosomal RNA is filed under the name uncultured Lactobacillus sp. RNAcentral describes it as "partial 16S ribosomal RNA". It matches the Rfam family "Bacterial small subunit ribosomal RNA", at positions 112 to 354 of the family's 1533-position model. Lineage: Bacteria; Bacillati; Bacillota; Bacilli; Lactobacillales; Lactobacillaceae. The record is from RNAcentral.